GGCUUCCUCAUGCUUAACAACAGGUUGUCUUCUUCUUCUGUCCGUAUAGAAAGAGGAGGAAGUGUCAACCUACCCCAGGUACAUCUCCGCCCAGGCUACUGUACCAGGGAUGUCUGUGAAAGGGGAGACCUUG
Small nucleolar RNA from Mastomys coucha (southern multimammate mouse), 133 nucleotides. RefSeq annotates it as small nucleolar RNA SNORA51. NCBI's taxonomy places the organism in Eukaryota, Metazoa, Chordata, Mammalia, Rodentia, Muridae. The transcript has a single exon. The record is from RefSeq and is a predicted model, not a curated record.